RNAcentral lists this ribosomal RNA (253 nucleotides) under uncultured bacterium. RNAcentral describes it as "partial 16S ribosomal RNA". It matches the Rfam family "Bacterial small subunit ribosomal RNA", at positions 524 to 776 of the family's 1533-position model. The record is from RNAcentral.
UACGUAGGCAGCGAGCGUUGUUCGGAAUUACUGGGCGUAAAGAGUGUGUAGGCGGUGUUCCCAGUCUGUUGUGAAAUCUCCCGGCUUAACUGGGAGGGUGCAGCGGAAACUAGAAUGCUAGAGGGUGGGAGAGGUAAGCGGAAUUCCUGGUGUAGCGGUGAAAUGCGUAGAUAUCUGGAGGAACACCGGUGGCGAAGGCGGCAUCCUGGACCAUAACUGACGCUGAGGCGCGAAAGCUAGGGGAGCAAACAGG